ACAGUAAGAUCAUAGCUUCAGGACCUAAGUAGCUCCUGGGGAUGGGAAAGAGAUGACUGACUGAGGUGGUUGAUGGGAUUCUUACAGGACCCCACUGGAAAUCGGACUGUUCAACUCACCUGGCAUCCACUCCCAGAGCCCCUGGAACUCUGGCCCAAGGCUCUCUGACUGACUUCUUCCCAGAUCUUCUCGGCUUAGCAGCUGAAGACUGACGCUGCCCGAUUGCCUCAGAAGCCCCGUAGACCAUCAUGGACGCCGAGCUUUAGGUAACUCUCACAGUGGAGGCAACAAAGCACCAUCUUGGAAGCAGAGAGCCACCCUCACCAGAACUGAAUGCAGGCACCGUGACCUUGAACUUCCCAGCCUCCAGAACUAUGUGAGUGCACAUGGAAAUUUAUGGAGUCUCUCAGCAUUGUAGAAGAGCCUCUGUUUCUUCUCACUGGUUCCUGUCCUCCUCAGCUUGGUAUAUAACUCCUGAGGGCUGAAUACCUGGUUGCUGAAGGAUCCAGUCCCUGCCCUAUAACCGAGGAAGAAUUUCUACUUCCCCUUCCUGUCCAGAAGUGAUAUUCCCAGAGGAACAGUGAAAACAUGAGAUUCAAGAUUCUGUGAGCUGGACAGCAGAUGGAGGCACACUGACAGCAGAUGGAGGACAUAAAGCUGACAGUUAAGAGACAUGUGAAUGGGUUGAUGGGGAAUGAUCUCUUUGUGAAGUCUGUUGUUGGCAACACAUUGCGGCAGAAGAAACAGCUCAGUGAUGGUCCCCACAGCUGCCAUUCUCCAGUCUUGAAGUUGGUGUAUGACCUCACUGUGACCGACCCCCUAUGGGCUGACAAUGUGGAAAACAGUAAUGGUCAAGAAAUCCUCCCUGUCCUUUUGUGUUCCAGGCAGAGAGCCACCCUUCCCCAUGUGACUUGGGGAAGACUCAUGGAUGAGCUCCUUGAGAACCUAUGACGAAGCCAGACACAACCCCUCCUAGGGUCUGAAAGUUUGUGUCCUUCCAAAUUCAUAUGUUGAAAUCCUAACCCCCGAGGUGAUGGUAUCAGGAAGUGGGGCCUUGGGAGGUGGUUAGGUCAUAAGAUUGGAGCUCUUAUGUAUGGAAUCAGUGAUUUAAAAAGGCCCCAGAGAGCUGCCUUGCUCCUUAAGACAUGUGAGGAUACAGCAAGAAGGUGCUGUCCAUGAGAAAGCUGGCCCUCACCAGAAACCAAUCCUACAGAUGCCUUGAUCUUGGACUUCACAGCCUCCAGCACUGUGAGCAAUGAGUUUUUGUUGUUUAUAAGCCACCUAGUCUAUGGUAUUUUGUUAUGGCAGCUUGAACAGACUAAGCCAACCCUCCAAAUUUUCAUUCUUUGGUCCUCACUGACUAAUCUGAACAAACUGCUCAUCAACUUAACUUGUUCAAACUUAAUGAGGCUUCUCUCCCUCCCCAGGCCUUUGAACUUUGGCUGGCCCCUGAGCUUAAGCAAGCACUAAAACACAGAACAUCUCUCCUCAGUGAUCCUUCCCUGUUCAAAUUGUCUGUUCACACCACCUGCUCAUCCCACUCCCGCACAGCCACUCCUCUCUAGUAUUCUCUACUCCUUCACAUAAAAAGAGAAGCCCUUAGCCGGGUGCAGUGGCUCAUGCCUGUACUCUCAACACUUUGGGAGGCCCAGGUGGGUGGAUCACCUGAGGUCAGGAGUUCAAGACCAACCUGGCUAACAUGGCGAAACCCCGUUUCUACUAAAAAUACAAAAAAAUUUAGCCAGGCGUGGUUGUGUGUGCCUGUAAACCCAGCUAGCUGGGAGACUGAGGCAGGAGAAUCACUUGAAUGUGGGAGUCAGAGGUUGCAGUGAGCCAAGAUUGCGCCACUGCACUCCAGCCUGGGCGAC
Molecule: long non-coding RNA, 1868 nt
Organism: Homo sapiens (human)
Lineage: Eukaryota; Metazoa; Chordata; Mammalia; Primates; Hominidae
Source: Ensembl